Molecule: long non-coding RNA, 172 nt
Organism: Telopea speciosissima
Lineage: Eukaryota; Viridiplantae; Streptophyta; Magnoliopsida; Proteales; Proteaceae
Exons: 4
Source: RefSeq, a predicted model, not a curated record
UAAUAAGUUGCUCAUAAAGCAAAGAAUGGUCAAUUUCUUUCUCAACUCACCCCAAAUUUUUGGCAGUGCAAACAUUGCUUAUCCUUUCAGGUAUUCAGGACUUCGAAAAGCACUUCCCCUCAUGUUUAACACCCAGACACCCCAUAGCAAGAAGCUUUACAAACAUCAGCAG